GGCGCCUCUCCCUCCACACCUCCCUGCAAGCUGAGGGAGCCGGCUCUGGCCUUGGCCAGCCUAGAAAGGGGCUCCCACAGUGCAGUGGUGGGCUGAAGGGCUCCUCAAAUGCCGCCAAAGUGGGAGCCCAGGCAGAGGAGGUGCCAAGAGCAAGCGAGGGCUCUGAGGACUGCCAGCACGCUGUCACCUGUCAUUAUCAACAACUUGACUAAAAUACCUCUGUGUUUGAAGAGGAAGCCAGAGAAAUUAGAAACAAGAGAAACAUUUGAUGCAUUAUUGCUGACUUGAAGAUGGAGAGAGGUUCCCCUGAGCAUACAGGAGUACUCCAUGAAGACUGCAAUGGCUUCCCUCUCACAAACUGCAUGCACGUCCAGCAGCUCCUGGAGUGUGUCUGUGGGGAAUCUCACUUGCUGGGCCAUCUGCUGGCUGUAGUGGUUGGCUGCCCUCUGCACGGCUGCUGAGUUCUCACACUGGGCCAGAACUGCCAUUGCAUUCUCCAGACAAGGAGUCGCUCCACUGUUGAUGGCAUCCAGAGACCAUCAAGCUUCAGAAGAUCAUGUGACAAAUGUUCCAGCCAGUUCCAGUUGAAGACACCACCCCUGGCCAUCAAGAAGCUACUCUGCCUCCACUAGACAGAGCAGGGUGACAGUUCCGUGAUCCCCAAUAGGUAGGGACUUUGCUUCAAGCCAGCAUGAGGCAGUUACAGAAGAAAGACCAUUAGUCACUCCACCUCCCAUAAAGAUUUAUGGGGAUGACAUCUCUCAGGGAGGAAAUGAGGCAGGAAAAUAGGAUCUGGAGGCAUAGAACAUAAGGCCUAUUCACACUUCAGCUAUGCCGGGAAAUAUUAUCUCCAUUUACAUAGGGCAUACACAAAGUAACCAAUGGAAACCUCUAGAGGGUAUUUAAAUCCCCCAAAAUUCUGUAACAGGACCCUUGAGCCCCUAUGCUUGGGCCCACUCCCACACUGUGGAGUGUACUUCCAUUUUCAAUAAAUAUCUGCUUUUGUUGCUUCA
Molecule: long non-coding RNA, 1013 nt
Filed under: Homo sapiens (human)
Lineage: Eukaryota; Metazoa; Chordata; Mammalia; Primates; Hominidae
Description: HSALNT0293675
Source: RNAcentral